UGGGGAAUAUUGGACAAUGGGCGCAAGCCUGAUCCAGCAAUGCCGCGUGUGUGAAGAAGGCCUGCGGGUUGUAAAGCACUUUCAGUGGGGAAGAAAAGCCUACGGUUAAUAACCGUGAGUCUUGACGUAACCCACAGAAGAAGCACCGGCUAACUCCGUGCCAGCAGCCGCGGUAAUACGGAGGGUGCGAGCGUUAAUCGGAAUUACUGGGCGUAAAGCGCGCGUAGGCGGUUUGGUCAGUCGAAUGUGAAAGCCCAGGGCUUAACCUUGGAACUGCGUUCGAUACUGCCUGACUAGCGUAUGGUAGAGGGAAGUGGAAUUUCCGGAGUAGCGGUGAAAUGCGUAGCUAUCGGAAGGAACACCAGGGGCGAAGGCGACUUCCUGGGCCAAUACUGACGCUGAGGUGCGAAAGCGUGGGGAGCAACCAGGAUUAGAUACGCCUGUAGUCC
Molecule: ribosomal RNA, 449 nt
Filed under: uncultured prokaryote
Description: bacterial SSU rRNA
Rfam family: Bacterial small subunit ribosomal RNA
Source: RNAcentral